This is a small nuclear RNA of Cercocebus atys (sooty mangabey), 165 nucleotides long. Its record names the gene U1. It matches the Rfam family "U1 spliceosomal RNA". Rfam says of the family: U1 is a small nuclear RNA (snRNA) component of the spliceosome (involved in pre-mRNA splicing). Lineage: Eukaryota; Metazoa; Chordata; Mammalia; Primates; Cercopithecidae. The record is from Ensembl.
AUACUUUAACCUGACAAGGGAGAGACCAGGGUCACGAAGGUGGUUUUCCUAGGGCGAGGCUUAUUCAUUGCACUCCAGAUGUGCUGACCCCUGUGAUUUCCCCAAACAUGGGAAACUCAACUGCAUAAUUGUGAUAGUGAGGGACUGUGUUCAUGCUUUCCCCUG